This 554-nucleotide ribosomal RNA is filed under the name uncultured bacterium. RNAcentral's name for it is "bacterial SSU rRNA". It matches the Rfam family "Bacterial small subunit ribosomal RNA", at positions 340 to 895 of the family's 1533-position model. The record is from RNAcentral.
UACGGGAGGCAGCAGGAGGGAAUAUUGGACAAUGGGGGGAACCCUGAUCCAGCCAUGCCGCGUGAGGGAAGAAGGUCCUCUGGAUUGUAAACCUCUUUUGGCGGGGGACAAACCUGCGCUACACGCGCAGCUGAGGGUACCCGCAGAAUAAGCACCGGCUAACUCCGUGCCAGCAGCCGCGGUAAUACGGAGGGUGCAAGCGUUGUCCGGAUUCAUUGGGUUUAAAGGGUGCGUAGGCGGUCUUUUAAGUCAGCGGUGAAAUCCCCCGGCUCAACUGGGGAACUGCCGUUGAUACUGAGAGACUUGAGUUCGUCCGAGGUCGCUGGAAUGCGUGGUGUAGCGGUGAAAUGCAUAGAUAUCACGCAGAACACCGAUUGCGAAGGCAGGUGACUGGGACGCGACUGACGCUGAGGCACGAAAGUGUGGGGAGCAAACAGGAUUAGAUACCCUGGUAGUCCACGCCUUAAACUAUGGAUACUAAGUGUCGGCGGUUUACCGCCGGUGCCGCAGCUAACGCAAUAAGUAUCCCGCCUGGGAAGUACGGCCGCAAGGUU